GCUUAACACAUGCAAGUCGAGCGGUAAGGCCCUUCGGGGUACACGAGCGGCGAACGGGUGAGUAACACGUGGGUGAUCUGCCUCGCACUUCGGGAUAAGCCUGGGAAACUGGGUCUAAUACCGGAUAUGACUUCUGGUCGCAUGGCUGGGGGUGGAAAGAUUUAUCGGUGCGAGAUGGGCCCGCGGCCUAUCAGCUUGUUGGUGGGGUAAUGGCCUACCAAGGCGACGACGGGUAGCCGGCCUGAGAGGGCGACCGGCCACACUGGGACUGAGACACGGCCCAGACUCCUACGGGAGGCAGCAGUGGGGAAUAUUGCACAAUGGGCGAAAGCCUGAUGCAGCGACGCCGCGUGAGGGAUGACGGCCUUCGGGUUGUAAACCUCUUUCGACAGGGACGAAGCGCAAGUGACGGUACCUGUAGAAGAAGCACCGGCCAACUACGUGCCAGCAGCCGCGGUAAUACGUAGGGUGCGAGCGUUGUCCGGAAUUACUGGGCGUAAAGAGCUUGUAGGCGGUUUGUCGCGUCGUCUGUGAAAACUCACAGCUCAACUGUGAGCUUGCAGGCGAUACGGGCAGACUUGAGUACUGCAGGGGAGACUGGAAUUC
This 606-nucleotide ribosomal RNA is filed under the name Nocardia beijingensis. Its description in RNAcentral is "bacterial SSU rRNA". It matches the Rfam family "Bacterial small subunit ribosomal RNA", at positions 46 to 669 of the family's 1533-position model. Lineage: Bacteria; Bacillati; Actinomycetota; Actinomycetes; Mycobacteriales; Nocardiaceae. The record is from RNAcentral.